UACAUUUAAGUAUAAGAAGUACGAAAAUUUUUGAUAUUUUUGGAAGUGGUUUGAUUCCACUAAAUGUAA
This 69-nucleotide transfer RNA is filed under the name Dorcus tanakai. Its description in RNAcentral is "tRNA-Gln". Lineage: Eukaryota; Metazoa; Arthropoda; Insecta; Coleoptera; Lucanidae. The record is from RNAcentral.